This 413-nucleotide ribosomal RNA is filed under the name uncultured microorganism. Its description in RNAcentral is "bacterial SSU rRNA". It matches the Rfam family "Archaeal small subunit ribosomal RNA", at positions 330 to 745 of the family's 1478-position model. The record is from RNAcentral.
GCGCAGCAGUCGAGAAACCUUCGCAAUGCGGGAAACCGCGACGAGGGGACUCCCAGUGCCUACGCUCAGCGUAGGCUGUCCCCGAGCCUAGAAAGCUCGGGGAGUAAGGGCUGGGUAAGACGGGUGCCAGCCGCCGCGGUAAUACCCGCAGCCCGAGUGGUGGCCACUAUUAUUGGGCCUAAAGCGUCCGUAGCCGGCCCGGUAAAUGCCUGGGUAAAUCGUGAGGCCUAACCUCACGAAUUCCGGGUAGACUGCCGGGCUAGGGACCGGAGGAGGGAGAGGGUACUCCAGGGGUAGGGGUGAAAUCCUGUAAUCCCUGGAGGACCACCGGUGGCGAAGGCGCUCUCCUAGGACGGGUCCGACGGUGAGGGACGAAAGCCAGGGGAGCGAACCGGAUUAGAUACCCCUGUAGU